CGCGAAURGCUCAUUACAACAGCUAUAAUCUACCAGUUGGUUUUCCUAUAUGGAUAACUGCGUUAAUUCGGGAGCUAAUACAUGCAAAAGGGUUGAGUUCGAAAGGGAUUCAACUGUAUUUAUUGGUGCAAAACCAGUCGUUUAGACUGUUAAGCUUACUCUGAAUAAACACGCUUAUCGCAUGCUCUUGUAGCGGCGAAACUUCUGUCGAGUAUCUGCCCUAUCAACUGUCGUUGGUAAUGUAUUGGAUUACCAUGGUGUUAACGGGUAACGGAGAAUCAGGGUUUGACUCCGGAGAGGGAGCCUUAGAAACGGCUACCAUGUCUAAGGAAAGCAGCAGGCACGAAAAUUACCCAAUGUCAAAAGGAUGAGGUAGUGACGAGAAAUAACGAGACCGUUCUCAUUGAGGUCGGUCAUUGGAAUGAGUAAAAUCCAGACACUUUAACGAGUAUCUACGAGAGGGCAAGUCUGGUGCCAGCAGCCGCGGUAAUUCCAGCUCUCGUAAGGUAUAGAAUUAUUGCUGUGGUUAAAAAGUUCGUAGUUGGAUUGUUAAGUUGGUACGGGUCGACCGUUAGCGGUUUGUACUCGUUGCCUUCAAUUUGUGCGUUUGUGCAUUGUUCGUUUUCGGAUGGGCAUUGUGCAUCGUACAGGAUUACUUUGAACGGUUCAAGUGCUUAAAGCACGUCUUAUGACUGAAUAUCGGUGCAUGGAAUAAUGGAACAAGGCUUCGGCCGGGUUUUAUUGGUUUUGACGGCUGAAACAAUGGUUAACAGGAACAGUCGGGGGCAUUCGUAUCGCUACGCGAGAGGUGAAAUUCGUGGACCGUAGCGAGACGCCCAAAAGCGAAGGCACUUGCCAAGGGUGUUUUCAUUAAUCAAGAACGAAAGUCAGAGGUUCGAAGGCGAUCAGAUACCGCCC
This 918-nucleotide ribosomal RNA is filed under the name Ektaphelenchus joyceae. RNAcentral describes it as "SSU rRNA". It matches the Rfam family "Eukaryotic small subunit ribosomal RNA", at positions 88 to 1031 of the family's 1831-position model. Lineage: Eukaryota; Metazoa; Nematoda; Chromadorea; Rhabditida; Aphelenchoididae. The record is from RNAcentral.